GGGGAGACAAUCAGGUCAAUACUUCCAGAAUUGUCGGAACAUAGUAAGUGUGCCUGCCAAAACUUUUACUUUAGCAGUAAUAACUGGAGAAUAAACUUUUACUUGUCAACGCAGUGGCUAUUUGUCAAUGCAAGGACUUUUUUCAGAGAAAUCAGAUGUUUUUAGCUUUGGUGUUUUGGUACUAGAGAUCGUUAGCGGGAGAAGAAACUCAAGCUUUUAUGACAAUGAGCAUGCUCUGAGUCUUGUAGGAUUUGUAAGCAUUAACAGUUCAUUACUGGCUCAAUAAUAUGCUAUUUUUUCCUUUUGCUACCGCAACUUACAAAUAUUUGAAAUUUGCUUUUGCUUUUCAUUUAGGUCUGGAUACAAUGGAGGGAAGGAAAUAUUUUAUCUUUAAUAGAUCCAGAAAUAUAUGAUCAUAGUCAUGAUAAGAAUAUUUCGAGAUGCUUACAUAUAGGACUGUUAUGUGUACAAGAAUCGGCUGUAGACAGGCCUAAUAUGGCUACAGUAAUUUCUAUGCUUAACAAUGAGGUUGCAUCACUUCCUCCUCCAAGUCAACCUGCAUUCAUCCUAAGGCAGUAUAUGUUGAAUUCAAAGUCGCCUGAAGAAAAUCAAAUUGUCUGUUCCAUUAAUAAUGUCAGUAUUACAGAUUUAUGUGGUAGAUAGCACACUAGAGACUAUGAAAGGAUUUGGAGGUUUAUAGAUAUUUGGCCAAUAAUAGAAUCUUUGUUAAUGUAUUUGUGACAAAAGAAAACUCUAGUGUAAUGGAAGACAUAGAACACAAGUUUUUAUCUUUGCUAGAACACAAGUGUAAUGGAUAUUAUGGAACAGAGUUUGCGACCUUUGUUUUCUAGUUCGACUUCUUCCUCAUCAUCCAUCAAAACUAUCCAAAUAUUUUUAUGCAGCAAUUGAUACCAGACCAAAGGCUCAUGAUACCAAUUGAGAUGGGAAAAUGGAUUCUAGGGACAAAGCGAUAAAAUCCGAGUCUCACUAGUAGGUAUUUUAUUGGUUUAGAAUAGAAUCCGAUACAGAGGAGAAAUUGGGAGAUGAAUAUUGUAGAGUGAUAGUUUUUGAGUGAAGAUUUUUGUUGAAAUGUUGAUUGAUUGCAAAUGAAAUAUAAUGAGGCACAAAGCCAAGUUUAAAUACAAUCUCAAGACUAAAGGAGUAAAAUGACAUAAAGUAAAUCUAAUACCUUAAAUAGGCUAAUUCGCCUCCACCUAUUUAAUCACUGUUACAUUCUUGAUUCUUCCACUGCUUCGACAUUGACGACAAACCGAUCAAAACCACAACGAUACUUGGCCACCACCUUUGCAGCAUAUUAUUUGCACGAUUGAAACAAUGAAGAACAGGAAGAUCCAAAAUCAGUUGAUGGAUUGGUUUGAUUUGAAUGGCUCACAAUUUGAUUUAGUUUGGAGCUCAUUGCUUCAGAUUAUAGGCCUUUAAAGCAAUUUAACCUCAACCAUAGUAUUUUUUUGCAAUUACUGAUGGAAAUUAAUCAUGAUAGUGGUUAAUAUCAGUGUCACAGGUUGAAAAUAACACAUGUGAGAACCAUGGAUUCAAAUUGGGGCCAAGUUCAUGAUAUAAGCAAAUUGGGAAUUAUGGUCCACAAUUACAGUUUUGGUAUAAAAUGAUUUUUUUGCAAUAUUCUGAGUUCCUGUCAAAGAAGUGAGUUCUCAAAUAACAAAAACUCUUGUAACCUUCUGUGACAAGUCAAACUGGAGGUGCACUGGUAUACACCAUCUAAAUUGGUGGAUCUUAGUCUCCA
RNAcentral lists this long non-coding RNA (1762 nucleotides) under Medicago truncatula (barrel medic). Its description in RNAcentral is "long non-coding RNA (MTRU_LNC005122)". Lineage: Eukaryota; Viridiplantae; Streptophyta; Magnoliopsida; Fabales; Fabaceae. The record is from RNAcentral.